GACGAACCGAGCGAACGUUGUUCGGAAUCACUGGGCUUAAAGGGCGCGUAGGCGGGCGAUCAAGUCGGUGGUGAAAUCCUGCAGCUUAACUGUAGAACUGCCUCCGAUACUGGUCAUCUCGAGGAAGGUAGGGGUGUGUGGAACUGUUGGUGGAGCGGUGAAAUGCGUUGAUAUCAACAGGAACUCCGGUGGCGAAGGCGACACACUGGACCUUUUCUGACGCUGAGGCGCGAAAGCUAGGGGAGCAAACGGG
RNAcentral lists this ribosomal RNA (253 nucleotides) under uncultured bacterium. Its description in RNAcentral is "partial 16S ribosomal RNA". It matches the Rfam family "Bacterial small subunit ribosomal RNA", at positions 524 to 776 of the family's 1533-position model. The record is from RNAcentral.